AUUGAACGCUGGCGGCAUGCCUUACACAUGCAAGUCGAACGGCAGCACGGGGGCAACCCUGGUGGCGAGUGGCGAACGGGUGAGUAAUACAUCGGAACGUGCCCUGAAGUGGGGGAUAACGUAGCGAAAGUUACGCUAAUACCGCAUAUUCUGUGAGCAGGAAAGCAGGGGAUCGCAAGACCUUGUGCUUUAGGAGCGGCCGAUGUCGGAUUAGCUAGUUGGUGAGGUAAAGGCUCACCAAGGCGACGAUCCGUAGCGGGUCUGAGAGGAUGAUCCGCCACACUGGGACUGAGACACGGCCCAGACUCCUACGGGAGGCAGCAGUGGGGAAUUUUGGACAAUGGGCGCAAGCCUGAUCCAGCCAUGCCGCGUGAGUGAAGAAGGCCUCGG
Molecule: ribosomal RNA, 390 nt
Filed under: uncultured bacterium
Lineage: Bacteria
Description: bacterial SSU rRNA
Rfam family: Bacterial small subunit ribosomal RNA
Source: RNAcentral